UCAGGACUUGGGCAGUGUGAGUGCCACUGAAAAUCAGCUCACGUGCUGCCUUCGGCACACGUGCCAUAGGUUGCCUACCCCUGGCCUAUAGCCUGGUAGUUAGGACACCCACCUGGAAUGCGGGUGAGGGAAGGGGAGACCUGGAUUCUAAUCUCUGCUCCAGGCCAGAGCAGAGAUUUGAACCUGAGUCUUCCUUCUUCCAGAUGGGUGCCCUAACCACUGGGCUAAAGGCUAUCCAAGGAACUUCACCUACACAGCUAUGUGUUUUGUGAAGGAUACCAAGGUCCCCUUGUGAAUUUAGUUUUUUUUUAAAAUGGCAAAAACUAUUGAGCAAAUUCAUGAAUAGUUUCAGGCUGACUGAAACUGCAUUUUUCAUGGAAUAAACUAUUUGAAAAAUUUUGCUGAGCCCCAUGUGGGAUGCUUUCCAAAAAAAAAAAUCCUUCAAAGACUGAACUCUGGCCUGUUUUUCAGCGAAGAGUUACACUAAGGUGCAGGAAAGGGGAGUGUACCAGUAGCAGUUAUAUGUUAAUUUAGCCCAUCCCAUUAUACAAAUUGAUUCCUGCAAAUGUUGGAUUUCAGCAUAGAAAAAUGUUUCUACAAACAGUUUCAACUCUGUCCUCACAACUAUAUACUAUUCUCCCCAGAUAAAACCAAUAUAUCCUUGAUCUCUUUUGCAUCUCAUCUGAUCCUAUCUAUGAGAUGCUCCUCCUUUAAAAAAUAAAAAGGAAAAGAAAGGAAAUUCCCAGGUGGAAAACUUAUCGUCAUUAACUUCUCAAAGAAUAAUGAUCAGUUAAAGUAAGGUGGAUAGAGAUCUGAAUAUCUUACAAUUCAUGUAGAUUGUUAUGGAUUCCCAUACCUGCUGCAGUCUCAGACUGUAUUAACUUUUCUACAGAUUCUGCAUGAGGUUGGUGGAGGAACAAUGUAUAUCUUACAUUGCCUCUCUGCCUUCCGAAUCCUGCAGAGAACUUCCAUGUACCAGAGAUUAAGAAUAUGUGCCAUGGAGCAGGGCUGACCCCUUACUUUUGCACAGGAACAGAGAGAUCUUGUGCACAGAAAAGACCUUCCAUAUGGCAAUUUGUGGGGGAUGGAGAAGAAUAGCAACAAUCUGGCUCUAGAAUUUUAAGACAAAGCUGUUCUUAAUUAUCAUUGUAACCAUUAUGAUUUAUCUGCAUUUGCAAAGCAUCACACAUCAUAAAAGGAGCUGGGUACAAUUUUUUAAAACAGUAGCACACUGCCAGAAAAUGACAAAAAAAAGGACAAUCUUCAUAUAUCCUGGACCACCACCAUAAUUUAAAGGAACUCAGAAACGCUAUUUCCCCAUGAAUACAUCCUUGGUCCUAAUGAUAUUUCUGUAAACAUUUUAAGUAAAACAUGUUUUCCAUUCCAAAUGUGUUCUGUAAUUUGAUGCCUUCAAAGAAAGGAUGUAUGAGUCAUCUUCAUGAAACAUGCAAUUGAGGCGAGUCACUGUGUAGCCAACUAAAAUAUCUAAGUAAUAUUAACAGUGUUAUGUUACUUAUGUAGUUGCCCAAGGUUUUAAGAACCAAAUCUGUUCUUUUUACUACAGUAAGAAUUACUGUUGUGUUUUUUUUAUGUGGAAAGUGAGGCUAACAUAACUACAGAAUUAAGAUCAAAAUUUAGUUUGAAAGACAAGUUACUGCAGAGGUAUUCUCAUUAGAAAACCAAUGAGACAUUAGGCAUUGACCUGUGACCCACCAUAUCCAAUAUUACUUUUGUUUCUUGUUCAGUACUUGAUGUUUUAAUAUCUGUUUCCUGGCUUAAUUCGAGCAUGGGCUGUCAGAUUGGAUGGAGAAUUCAGUGUGUUUUUGGGUGGUUAGGAUUAGUAAAAUUUCAGAUUUUGCCUGGAAUGCUCCAUUAUUUCUAACUAUUCCCCUUUUUCUGUUAUGAGAGUGAAAUUUACUUCUUCCUGUACCAGACAGAAUAAAUGGGGUGAUGUGCUGAAGGUUGGAGAGGAUGAAAUUCACACUUCAAAACCUAUGGGCAAGCUGAAUCUCCUGCUGCAUCUAUGACUGCCAAGCACUGGACACCAUUGUGAGGCACUGGACUAGCGGCUGACUGCUUCCUGACUAAGUGUGUGCAUGUCCCGAGCACAGUGGCCAGAAAUUUCUCCCUCAGUGGUACCCGUCAGGGCGGCUCCGGCGCCCUCUGGUGCCAUGCGCUCAUAGCGCUGGUAUGAAGGACUCAGCUGGCGACACCCACCCCAGUUGCUUCUUUACAGCCAAUUCCGAUGUUGAGGCGUAGCAGGGCGGCUCGUGGAAUGGAUAUUUGCAACACAUCUCAAAGAACAACUGUUGUGGAGAGGUGUAAUAAGUACUCAAGAAUGACCUGCAGCAACAACCGCUUGGGCAAGACUCCACAUUGGGAAGCCCAGAUGGAGCACCGCUUCCAUUCUGAGAGAUCUACCUGGGGAGCCCUCCACUGCUGGAAAACGACCCUAAUGAUGUCCGGACGAAGGGACCACUCAUGGUGACUGCAGAAAGACCUAAUGAGGAGAUCUGCCAGUUCGUUCUGUGCUCCAUGCAGGUGGAAAGCCUCGAGAUUCUGCGGAAUCUCUUUCACAGUUCCCACCCGAAGGAAAGAUUGAACCUUCUGGGCCAGUAGUUGCUCGUGAGAGAGAUCUCUGAAGAGGGACAGGGAAGGAGUGUGUUAAGAAAAGGUCUUGACAGGCCAGUGGGGUGGAGUGCCCGGAGGACUGGUGAGAUCUGUAGUGCUUCCUUAAAGUCACUGAAGUAUACAGUCCCAGGGACUUAAAGGUCGCCCAGGAGUCCUUCAGUCCACGAAGUUUCAUGUCAGUCUGCUCCAAAAAGAGCAAAGCUCCCUCACACAGGGAAGAUCCUGGAGAGUUUGCUGGACCUCCUGCAGGAGGCCAGAGGACUGUAGCCAUGAACUCCUACACGUGGCUGCUGCGGAAGCCAUGGACCUCGCCGCCGAAUCCGCUGCAUUCAAGGCAGCUUGCAAAGAAAGCUCUGGCUAUGGAUUUCCCCUCAUCCACCAGCAAGGAAAACUACAGCCUGGCUUCUUGAGGCAGCAAGUUUUUGAACUUCAACAUGGAGUCCCAUAUGUUGAAGUCAUAUUUGCUCAGCAACACCUGCUGGUUAGCGAUCCUGAGCUGCAAACCCCUGGUAGAGUAGACCUUUCUACCAAAUAAAUCCAAGUUUUUGAU
Trachemys scripta elegans is the source of this 3181-nucleotide long non-coding RNA. RefSeq lists it as uncharacterized. The transcript is spliced from 7 exons. The record is from RefSeq and is a predicted model, not a curated record. NCBI's taxonomy places the organism in Eukaryota, Metazoa, Chordata, Testudines, Emydidae.